CCUACGGGGGGCUGCAGUGGGGAAUAUUGGACAAUGGGCGAAAGCCUGAUCCAGCCAUGCCGCGUGUGUGAAGAAGGCCUUCGGGUUGUAAAGCACUUUCAGUGGGGAAGAAAGCCUUGGGGCUAAUACCCUCGAGGAAGGACAUCACCCACAGAAGAAGCACCGGCUAACUCCGUGCCAGCAGCCGCGGUAAUACGGAGGGUGCGAGCGUUAAUCGGAAUUACUGGGCGUAAAGCGCGCGUAGGCGGUCUGAUAAGCCGGUUGUGAAAGCCCCGGGCUCAACCUGGGAACGGCAUCCGGAACUGUCAGGCUAGAGUGCAGGAGAGGAAGGUAGAAUUCCCGGUGUAGCGGUGAAAUGCGUAGAGAUCGGGAGGAAUACCAGUGGCGAAGGCGGCCUUCUGGACUAACACUGACGCUGAGGUGCGAAAGCGUGGGUAGCAAACAGGAUUAGAUACCCUAGUAGUC
RNAcentral lists this ribosomal RNA (465 nucleotides) under Vreelandella stevensii. RNAcentral describes it as "partial 16S ribosomal RNA". It matches the Rfam family "Bacterial small subunit ribosomal RNA", at positions 338 to 795 of the family's 1533-position model. Lineage: Bacteria; Pseudomonadati; Pseudomonadota; Gammaproteobacteria; Oceanospirillales; Halomonadaceae. The record is from RNAcentral.